This 259-nucleotide unclassified non-coding RNA is filed under the name Hevea brasiliensis (rubber tree). The record is from RNAcentral. Lineage: Eukaryota; Viridiplantae; Streptophyta; Magnoliopsida; Malpighiales; Euphorbiaceae.
AGUAUACUCUACUGACCUACCGUAACACAUCCAACAAACCACUGCUUUCCUUUGUGUGAUAACUGUGAUACAAAAUGUACAACAAUGCCUAUAUAUCGAAGACUAUGAACAUGACAAUGACAUAUAUCUAGAACACAAACAAAAACACGGCAGCUACAGAAAACAUUUUUAGCAGGAGAGGAAGUAAAUUAUAGUUUAUAUGGGUCACAAAAAUUAUACCCAAGACAGAAAUGACCAGAAAAACUUAGAAAGGAAUGAU